Molecule: small nucleolar RNA, 73 nt
Organism: Myotis lucifugus (little brown bat)
Lineage: Eukaryota; Metazoa; Chordata; Mammalia; Chiroptera; Vespertilionidae
Source: Ensembl
UGGAUCAAUAAUGAUUCUUGGUGGUGUAGGAGUCAUGACAAUGAAAAUACAUGUCUGAGACUCUGAGAUCUAG